This 485-nucleotide unclassified non-coding RNA is filed under the name Hevea brasiliensis (rubber tree). The record is from RNAcentral. Lineage: Eukaryota; Viridiplantae; Streptophyta; Magnoliopsida; Malpighiales; Euphorbiaceae.
UAUCUCCCCAACUCAGUACACAAAACCCUAAACUAUUCAGUCAUCAAUCAGUACCCUUUCACCAAUCCUUUCGGCCAACUGCAUUUAACCCCAAAAUCUAUACUCUUUCUCCAACCAAAACCUCUGACACCACAAAGAGUAAGCUCGCUGUGAAGUGCCGUCAGUCGGAGUUCUAUGAGCAGCAGAGGUUCAACUCUUCCCGUUCUUCUUCCACCGCCGAUACAUCUUAUGUUCCGCAUUCGCCGUCGGCAUCUGCAGGAGUUGGAGAAUUGCCGCCUAGGGUUUUUGUUGGCCAUUCAAUAUACAAGGGGAAGGCUGCUCUUACUGUGGAACCUCGAGCACCCGAGUUCGCGGCAUUAGAUUCUGGGGCAUUUAAACUAGCCAAGGAAGGUUUUGUUCUGUUACAAUUUGCGCCUGCAGCUGGUGUACGCCAGUAUGACUGGAGCAGAAAGCAGGUGUUCUCAUUAUCAGUGACAGAAAUUGGG